This 465-nucleotide ribosomal RNA is filed under the name uncultured bacterium. RNAcentral's name for it is "partial 16S ribosomal RNA". It matches the Rfam family "Bacterial small subunit ribosomal RNA", at positions 28 to 507 of the family's 1533-position model. The record is from RNAcentral.
GACGAACGCUGGCGGCGUGCUUAACACAUGCAAGUCGAACGCUGAACCCGCUUCGGUGGGGGAUGAGUGGCGAACGGGUGAGUAACACGUGGGCAACCUGCCCCCGGCUCUGGGAUAACUCCAAGAAAUUGGGGCUAAUACCGGAUGUGACCGCUGGCCGCAUGGUCUGGUGGUGGAAAGGGUUUCCGGCUGGGGAUGGGCCCGCGGCCUAUCAGCUUGUUGGUGGGGUAGUGGCCUACCAAGGCGACGACGGGUAGCCGGCCUGAGAGGGUGACCGGCCACACUGGGACUGAGACACGGCCCAGACUCCUACGGGAGGCAGCAGUGGGGAAUAUUGCGCAAUGGGCGGAAGCCUGACGCAGCGACGCCGCGUGGGGGAUGACGGCCUUCGGGUUGUAAACCUCUUUCAGCAGGGACGAAGCGCAAGUGACGGUACCUGCAGAAGGAGCACCGGCCAACUACGUG